This is a long non-coding RNA of Helicoverpa zea (corn earworm), 432 nucleotides long. RefSeq lists it as uncharacterized. NCBI's taxonomy places the organism in Eukaryota, Metazoa, Arthropoda, Insecta, Lepidoptera, Noctuidae. The record is from RefSeq and is a predicted model, not a curated record. The transcript has 2 exons.
UUUGUAUUAUUACAAAACCAGACAGCAUCUAACUCAAAUCUGUCACUUGUAUCCCCUGCUCGUGGACACCUAAACAUAUGCUACGCAUGUGGCUUGUCAACAGCAAGUCGCAGAACUCAUAGAGUCAGUCAAGAUAGUUCCUCAAAGGAAUGUUAUACUAAGAUGGACACCAGUACAUCACGUGUUGCAUUUGGAACGAGUUUGUGUUCCUUGUUGGGCGGCUGCAUCAAGACAAGUCCGGAGGCAACCCGUUGCUGGCAGUAGCCAACACACUGUGGAGUCUGCACCGGAGACUGGUAUCAUGGAUGGAAACAUAAUUACAGAUAUGAUGAUUCCUGUACCACCACCACUGCCACCGCUUUAAUGAUAUAAGCGCUCCAGCACAAUUUCUAGACAACAUAUUCCUUGAAGAAUAAAUGUCUAUUAUUUUAA